Long non-coding RNA from Triticum aestivum (bread wheat), 5037 nucleotides. RefSeq lists it as uncharacterized. The record is from RefSeq and is a predicted model, not a curated record. Lineage: Eukaryota; Viridiplantae; Streptophyta; Magnoliopsida; Poales; Poaceae. The transcript has 11 exons.
GUCGCUCCCGUAUUGGGCAGAAAUAGAGACAAAAAAAAAAUCAGGUUCCAAGCGUCUUGUAUUCUCCCCCCACGCACGCGACCUCCUCUCGUUCCACAAGCCAACGCAACCGCCGCCUCCUCGCCUCCGCCUCUUUCUCCGGGGGCCUUGCAGCUGCAGCGGGAUGGGAGUCAAGGGGGCGAGCGGGAUGGGCGGCCAGCUGGUUUCUUCGCCAGAUCUGCAGCCCAGGGGCGACUCCGGACCGGGGAGUGGCGGCAGUGGCCAGGCCUAGUGGUGACGGGACAAUGAAGUGGUCGGAGGCGCUGCAUCGGCGGCAAGUUGGUCUGCAACGACAGCAAGACGAGGGAGAUCGUGCACCCGCGGUGCCAAAGCUCAAGGGCCAUUAGGGAGCUGAACUCAGAUGUAUCCACCGUGCAGGACAAUGCCUUGGAGCUCCUGCUAUGUGGCUGUGGUUCUGGUCUUCUUUCCUGUACUUAAAUCUCGUGUUUGUUCGAUCUUAUAGGCUUCUUCAUAUUUUGCAUAUUCAUCAAGACGUGGCAGUCUACUCUGCUAUUUUGGCUAUCAUGGUCAAAAUAGCAGUAUGGAAUAAAUGAGACUUCCGGUCAAGCUACUGAUAUUAAGGUGUUCUUAUGUUUUUUUGGUGGGCUUUCAAGCCACUUGUGUUUGCAUUUUGUCCAAAACUCAUGAAGAUUGAAGGAUCUUCAGAAGAAUAACCGGCAUAGCAUAUGGGUGCACGUGUGGAGCCAGUUCAGAGCAUACGUAGUAGUAGCAGUCUCAAGGUAAUGCAUUACAGGGCAUGUACAAUUUUGAAAUUGUAAAAUUCCACUAUGGCACUAAGGUGCUGUCUUUUGCUCUCCUCCCUGCAAAUCUAUGCUUAUUUCCUGAUAUAUAUGUAGCUUCUUAUAUAAUUAAUAGACUGUAUUAUGAGUGUAUUCGUGUUCUAAAAUCAACAAUGGUGGUAUCUUGGUAGAACUAAUGCAUUUCCUUAUGAUUUACUAUCCUGACUUAAAAGAUAUUGACUGAUUUUACAGCUGCUGUGCACAUAAUACACUGCUAUAUGUUUCGUAGUAUUAUCCUUCUAAGAACAAGUACCGGCGCUCUGUUUUGCUAAUCCAAAAGGUGCAGCUUGUUAUUGUCCUUCAACUAUGCUUCCAGCAUAUAUAUGUUUUAACUUCUUGAUCCUUGUUUUGCUAUGCUUAACCUUUCAUACCCAGCUUCUUGGAUAAACUAAUUGUAGAAUUUCUUACCUUUGCCAUGCCUUGCUUUGCAUGCUUCAAGAAGCUUUUCAGAAUAUUCAGUUAAUUGUGCUGGUUGUUCAUAUCCUUAGCUGUUUUGCAGCUUAUCUGUCAAGUAGGUUUUACACUUUCGACAACUGGGAUAAUCAUGCUGCAAUUGCAUGCGAUGCUACUUCUAUAUUGCCGUGCUCUGAAAUAUAUUUUCAAAGGCAUAACCGAUUGGUCAAAAUAUACAGCUUGAGAUACUUUCAGUUUAGUUCAUAUCAUAUAUGAUUUUAGUUUGUCGCACGGUAUUUUUUUUUUUUAAAUAUUAGCUAUCAAGGCAAGGAUAAGACAUCAGGACAAAGAAGAGUUACCCUAUGCGUUUUUGGUGAUGUUGCAGAACACUCUUGAGAAGCGACAGCUAGGUAUUAUGACGCAUAUCUUCCUUCUCUGUUCAAAGCUUGCACAAGUGAAAACCCUGAUGUUAUACAAUGUGGAGUACAAUGGCUCCUACGGCUCGGCUUCGCGGCCGGGAUCAGGCAUCGCUGGAUCGGUGGCACCAAAGGUGGGUUGUGGAAGACUGCAUCGGGGAGCAUCGAGCCAUCGACCGAACAAGGUCUUAGAGUCGUUUAUGAUCCCGUAGGCCUCCGACAACAUCAAUAAUAAGGAUAGGAGUUGUCUGCUUCAUAUCGCCUCUGUCUCCACCCACGUUUCAGUUUGCAGGACGUGUUUGAGGGUGGCUUCUGCUUGUUCAUGAAGGCAACUAAGAAGGAGAAUUUGAUUAAAUUUCUUGAAGGAAAGAAAUAUUUUAUUUUCAGGCAGCCUUCCUGUCUAGGGGGGGGGGGGGGCUGGCGCCGUUCUGGUCGUGGUUCGGCAACCUGCAUCUGCAUCGGGAGGACGGCGGUGCCGAUGGUUUGGGAGCUGAAGCCGUGUGGCGAGGAUGGCGGUGGCGGAGGAGGAAGGGGGGCGCCGGCGGCUUUCGGUCACAUGGGUCAAAGGAGAGCAAGGGGACGGCAGCACCUUCUUCCCAUCUUCACCUAGAGUGCUAGCUACCUUUCAAACAUGGAAGCUUAGGAAAAAGCAUGUAAACCGAAGACAGGAAGCUUACCUGUUUGAUUCAGCAGAUUUGGUUUGCUCUAUUUGUUAAGAUCUUUCUCUGCUGCACGAGAACUUAAAGAUGUAACAUCAAUGUGGUGGGCAUAGAUCAGAAAGGCAAGUUCUUGUCAAAGGAAAUCUUCACCUACGUAAAGGUAACCUCAAUAGCCUCUCUUAAAUUUUGCAACAGGCAGCCGUUGCUGUAGCAUGGAGCUCUAGAGUAGUUAGUCUAGAUUCAACUCUAGAGUAGUUAGUCUAGAUUCAACUGAGUUACAAGUGCACAUUUGUCCAGUUAUUGCUACCUUUUUUUGGAAGAUUUUAGACUUACUAUCCUGUGUUAAUUUAAGGACUGGCUAAGUUUUGUUGUUCGUUCCCGUUCUCGGGUGCUGUCCGGUGGGUCAGUUGUGCUCUUCAGCGCCUUCGUCUUUGUUGUCUCCUACACCUUUGCCUACACCCUCACCCACUACCACGGCUCCCGCAGCAAGGUAACAGGUCUCUGCCUCGCCCGAUCUCCUUCGCCAGUUUAUAUGCAGAUGGACGGCUGCAUGAACAGAAAGACAAUGGUGUCCGGGCUUUGUUGCAUUGCGUUACAGGACGAGAACCUCUUUUAUUUCAUUUCCAGUUUCACUUUUUUUAGAACAUUUCCAGUUUCACUCUGCCUCUCUUUUUUACUUGGCUGGACUAAAGCAAAGUAGCAACAUUUACGUAAACAGAACCGGGUGUUUUCUGCUUUCUUGUUCCUCCAUUGUCUUCUGCUGGUGUGUUGCCUUCACUCGUAUCUCCAAAAGCAAUUUACUGCCCCUCCAAUUCCAUGGAAACUAAUGGUGGAUCUUAUCUACCACCAGUAAAAAUCAAACCCCAAUACUAACUGGUGACCAUAAUUUCCAUUUUCCCCUUCUAUAAGCCCCAUAUCAAUCUCAUUUCUGAACCCUGGUCAUGGGCUUGACCAACAAAAUAUAUGUUAUAUGCCUACAAAAUGUAUCAUCGGAAACUUCUUUCCCAUAUAAAUAUAAUGGUAUACUUUUUCCGUACAAUAUAUACUUUGUUGUUCAAAUCGAGGCUUUCUACCUAUCGUCAGUCCUGCACCAAGGACUAGGCUAGAAAAGUUACAUCCUUUUGAUGUUCUUAUCUUGGCAUGAUGCAAGGCAAAACCAAAAGGGAGAGGUUAUAUUAUUGGCCAUAUUUACUUUGGUUAUUAGUUGAGCACAUCUGGAGCAUCUUUCCAUUGUUGCCUGCCUUUCCAUUGUUAAGAUGCUGGAGGAGACUAACCGUACUACCGAUGAUAACACGCUUCUUGCUUUGGGUUUGUUUACUUGCCACAUAUGGCAUCAUAAUUAGAUGCAUUAGUAUUUUAUUGCUGCCAAAUGUCGUUGGUACUAAUUCUGGAUUAUUUCAGUCCAGUUCGAGGCUGGCUGCAGCCACGACAUCGACGGCAUCCAUAACAAUCGCGGAUCCUUCGACAUCUGGAUUGACCGCUGCUCCGUCGUCGACUACGAUGGCGGGCUCAUCGACAUCAUGCGCCAGAGCAUCUACAUUGCUUGUCUCCAGGUCGUUCCCUUCUCUGUUAUUUGUCCCUGCUACUAAGUCACUCACAUGCUUGGUUUCUCUCAACAAGUAUCGUUGAUUAGAUGGGAUCACUGUGUUGUCUGAUGAAAAUAAACGUGUGUGUAUGUGAUUGCAUUUUUUGCAUGAUUGAUAUAUAAUGGUUGCUCCAAUGUACACUGGGUAUGCAUGUAUUCUCCACGAACUUAGAAUUGGCACUCUCUUUUAGACCAGCUCUUCAUUCUUGUAUUUAAGUUGGUACUAAAUCUGGAAGAGGUUUAUUGUAGGUUGAUGUCUUUUCCAUCUCAUAUUUUUCAUCCAUGUGAUACGAACAAAUGCACAUGAUAAAGAGGAGAAUCUUUUCAUGAGCUUCACCAGCCAUUGUACAGAAUAUACAAUGCUGUUUUCUUAUGCAUUUUAAUUACAUUUACAGCUGUAAGUUUGUGAUGAUACAAACGGAAGUUGCAUACAGAGUUUCUUAUAUAUACUAUUGUUCUAUCCAUGCUUAACAUAUAAAAAUUUCUGUUCUGUUCAUACUAUUUAACAGUCAGCAGUUUAGUCAUCUUACAAAAGUAGACUGUACAUACUCAAAUCAUCAACUAGACACCAGAAAUAUUGACUUCUCUUUGCUCUUUCAUCAGCCAUUUUACUUUAGCAUUCAUAAAUUUGGGUCCUCAAGACAUGUACUCAAUAACAGUACUUUGCUAUCACCAUUAAUAUCAUUAAUAUCCAUAGAACACGCUCUUAUCUUCCAUAUCACACAACAAUUUCUGUCCAUGUAAAUAACUUGCUUUCUUCUACCAGUAUUUUCAGUUUAACUAUACUGAAGAGAACCUAUUGGACUACAUUGAUUCAAACAAUGAUAUACACUCAUGGUCAGACUUGCAGAUGGCAAUCUGCUCGCUGAAUGUCGCAUCAUGCUAGGAACUGAUAAGAGGGCCACUAUAACCACCAACUGGUUUGAGUUUCGCUGCUGCGCCAACAUUCGCGAAGGAGACUUUUGUGUAUUUCAUUUCAGGAUCACUUUAAAGUGCCGCUUUGUUGUCACCAUGCACUGCCUCUGGAUGCACCAUCGAAGACGUUGCCGCCCCUGUGUCAAUAUAAUCUAAUAUAAUGUACCACUAAGCACUCUUAAUUAUGCUAUAUACUGUGAUAACCUAUGGUUUACUUUUGGGCCCUCUUA